GAUGAACGCUGGCGGCGUGCUUAACACAUGCAAGUCGAACGGAGUUAUCAUUUCGGAAGCAAUUAGCUUGCUGAGAGCGGAAGAGAAGGUAACUUAGUGGCGGACGGGUGAGUAACGCGUGGGGAACCUGCCCUGCACCGGGGGAUAACACCUGGAAACAGGUGCUAAUACCGCAUAAGCGCACGAGGCCGCAUGGCCAGGUGUGAAAAACUAAGGUGGUGCAGGAUGGACCCGCGUCUGAUUAGCUUGUUGGUAGGGUAACGGCCUACCAAGGCGACGAUCAGUAGCCGGCCUGAGAGGGUGAACGGCCACAUUGGGACUGAGACACGGCCCAA
Molecule: ribosomal RNA, 335 nt
Filed under: uncultured bacterium
Lineage: Bacteria
Description: bacterial SSU rRNA
Rfam family: Bacterial small subunit ribosomal RNA
Source: RNAcentral